RNAcentral lists this ribosomal RNA (462 nucleotides) under uncultured bacterium. RNAcentral describes it as "partial 16S ribosomal RNA". It matches the Rfam family "Bacterial small subunit ribosomal RNA", at positions 28 to 507 of the family's 1533-position model. The record is from RNAcentral.
GACGAACGCUGGCGGCGUGCUUAACACAUGCAAGUCGAGCGACGCUCUUCCUUCGGGGAGAUGACGGAGCGGCGAACGGGUGAGUAACACGUGGGCAACCUGCCCCUAGCUCUGGGACAACACCGGGAAACCGGUGCUAAUACCGGAUACGACAUCGAGCGGCAUCUCUCGAUGUGGAAAGUUUUUUCGGCUAGGGAUGGGCCCGCGGCCUAUCAGCUUGUUGGUGGGGUAAUGGCCCACCAAGGCGACGACGGGUAGCCGGCCUGAGAGGGCGACCGGCCACACUGGGACUGAGACACGGCCCAGACUCCUACGGGAGGCAGCAGUGGGGAAUAUUGCGCAAUGGGCGAAAGCCUGACGCAGCGACGCCGCGUGAGGGAUGACGGCCUUCGGGUUGCAAACCUCUUUCAGCAGGGACGAAUUCAGACGGUACCUGCAGAAGAAGCACCGGCCAACUACGUG